Long non-coding RNA from Leptidea sinapis, 652 nucleotides. RefSeq lists it as uncharacterized. Lineage: Eukaryota; Metazoa; Arthropoda; Insecta; Lepidoptera; Pieridae. The transcript is spliced from 10 exons. The record is from RefSeq and is a predicted model, not a curated record.
AAGCUGAUGAAAUAUUGUAUUUAUUAUUAGUAAAAGAACUUGGCCUUUCCUUCACCUACUGAAAAAUACGAACAAGAAAUAUGUUCAAACUCAGUUUAUUCUUCGUCCUUUUGGCUGUGGCCUUCAUGGGAACUAAAUCCACAUCUAUUGGAAUACCAUGCCCUGGUGGCGGUAGUGGUGCCGGCCAAGGUGUCGGUCUAGGAGAAGGUGUCGGUUACGGCCAAGGUGGCGGUAAUGGUGGCAAAGGUGUCGGUCUAGGAGAAGGUGUCGGUUACGGCCAAGGUGGCGGUAAUGGUGCCGGCCAAGGUGUCGGUUUAGGAAAAGGUGUCGGUUACGGCCAAGGUGGCGGUAAUGGUGCCGGCCAAGGUGUCGGUUUAGGAAAAGGUGUCGGUUACGGCCAAGGUGGCGGUAAUGGUGCCGGCCAAGGUGUCGGUCUAGGAAAAGGUGUCGGUUUAGGCCAAGGUACUAAUGGAAAAAGCAUUACACAAGCAAUCGGUGUUGGAUUUGGGUUGGGAGUUGGCGCGUCUAAAACUGUGACACAAAACAGCCCGGUGCCAUGUUAAGUGGUAGGUAAAUAGUCCGCCGAACAAUAAAAUCUCAAUCGGAAUGUAAGAUUGUAUUACAUUAAUUUGAUUAAAUCCGAUUAAAUUCA